GAUGAAGAACGCAGCGAAAUGCGAUAAGUAAUGUGAAUUGCAGAAUUCAGUGAAUCAUCGAAUCUUUGAACGCACAUUGCGCCCGCCAGUAUUCUGGCGGGCAUGCCUGUUCGAGCGUCAUUUCAACCAUCAAGCCCCCGGCUUGUGUUGGGGACCUGCGGCUGCCGCAGGCCCUGAAAACCAGUGGCGGGCUCGCUGUCACACCGAGCGUAGUAGAUUUUCAUCUCGCUCAGGGCGUGCUGCGGGUUCCGGCCGUAAAGAGCCUUAUUUACCCAAGGUUGACCUCGGAUCAGGUAGGAAGACCCGCUGAACUUAAGCAUAUCAAUAAGCGGAGGA
RNAcentral lists this unclassified non-coding RNA (336 nucleotides) under soil metagenome. RNAcentral describes it as "partial contains 5.8S ribosomal RNA, internal transcribed spacer 2, and large subunit ribosomal RNA". The stretch from base 1 to 120 matches the Rfam family "5.8S ribosomal RNA", at positions 35 to 154 of the family's 154-position model. The record is from RNAcentral.